CUGGCGGGGCGCGGGGGUCCCUGUACCUCCUGACCUUCGCGCAGCUAGAAGGGCACGGGAGGUUGGGACCCUCUGUCUACAAAACGAGCUGGGCAUGUCCCCUUCGCCCUCCCAUGGCCAUGCUCCAACCUGGAAAGAAUAACUUUCACAUAAUAGCCACGACAGCGCCUACUCUGUACCAGGUGCCGUCUACUAGUAAGUACUGGAGCACAUAUUCCCCCUCCAGUCUUGCGAGGUGAGUACGAAUGAUGCGAUCGGCAUGUGCCCAAUGGAAAACGGAGGCACAGAGAGGUGAAGCCUCUUGCAUAAGGUCGCCCAGGUGGUGGACUUGGGGUUUGAGCCCUAACCCUAACGCUAAUGUAUUUUCGCUGCAGGCCUCCAAAUAGUGAUACUGUACUUCCCCCAUGUUAACACACACCUGUUCGUUUCACAUUUCUGAAACCAAUAUGUGUUUUCAGUUCCAGUUCCAUUGAUGAGGUGCCCUGGUUUAACUGGCAGCAGUUUUAAUUUCGCAGUGUAUGGAUGUAUCGGCUUCAAUGAGAGGCAGUAAUACCCACGUGCUCUAUGUUUAUGCGUUAACUCAUCUAAUUCUCAGAGCAGCGCCGUGGCAAGAAGAAACGGAGGCUUGGAGGCCAUGUGACUUGCCUGAGGUCACAUACUUGCCCGGCCUGUAAAUUACUGUCCCGGGUUUAUCAGACCCUGAAGCUCUGCUCCAUCCGCCUCCCUGGGCUAUUCUCUGUGACAGGACUGAGGCGGAGGCAUUUGGUGUAGGCAGCUCUGCGGGGACCUGGAUGCCUGCUGCCAGUGGGCAGAGCUGGGUAUGCGGAAACUGGAGAAGGUCACGCGGGGACAAAACCACAGAGGCUGUCCCUUCUCCCAGAAGUUUUCCGGGGAGUUGGGAAGACCGGAAAACACGAUCUUGAAGAUGUAAUAUUCUUCGGGAAGAGAAUCAGUAAGGCCAGAGGGAGGCUCCCAGCUGAGUGCUUCUGAGUUUCAGCUUUACGGUGCUGAUGGUCAAAAGUUCUCCUUGUUUGGAAUGUGUUUUGUAAGUUCUCUUGGUGUGUUUGCUUUUGGUUCACAUCCCUUACACAUUAAGCCCAAAGACUGUCAGAGGGCCCAGAAGUAUCUACCCUCACCCAUCUCCUCUCUUCUGAGCACUUAUUAAAUGCUUUCUGAAGA
Long non-coding RNA from Myotis brandtii (Brandt's bat), 1179 nucleotides. RefSeq lists it as uncharacterized. The transcript has 2 exons. Lineage: Eukaryota; Metazoa; Chordata; Mammalia; Chiroptera; Vespertilionidae. The record is from RefSeq and is a predicted model, not a curated record.